UGUCUUCACUUCGCAGGCCACUGUCCAGGCUCCUCUGUCAUCUUGCAUUCUAGUUCUUACAAGUUACGCCAAGGAAAUAAUUAUAGAAAAGAAGAAGAAGAAGAAGAAGAAGAAGUAGAGUAUUGUCAGGAUGGAGAGUUUGCUUAUACCAGUCAUCUCAACGCCCCAGAAACUAAAUCUGAACAAACAAGACACUCCGUCAAUAUGCUCAUCCAAACCCGCCAAAUCGUCUGUUCCCUUCACCAAAAAGCUCCACUGUAAAAUUUCAGAUUCACAUUUGAAUUACCUUUGCCAAAACGGUCGCUUAAGUGAGGCCGUAACAGCUCUUGAAUCCAUAGCUCAACAUGGGUUCAAGGUAAGAUCCAAAACCUUCAUUAAUUUAAUUCAGUCCUGCAUUGAUUCCAAUUCUGCUAGUCUGGGCCGCAAGGUCCAUGCCCAUAUUAAUUUGGUUGAAGAAAAAACCCCAUUUCUUGAGACCAAGUUAGUCAGUAUGUAUGCUAAAUGUGGGUUUUUAAGCGAUGCGCGUAAAUGCUUUGAUGAAAUGCGGGAGAGAAACUUGUAUGCGUGGUCUGCGAUGAUUGGUGCGUUCUCCAGAGAGCACAUGUGGAAGGAAGUUGUCGAGUUCUUUUAUCUGAUGAUGCAGUCGAAUUGUGUACCUGAUGGGUUUUUGUUACCUAAGAUAUUACAGGCGUGUGGUAAUUGUAGGGAUGUUAAGACAGGGGAACUAGUACAUUCUUUGGCUGUUAAAUGUGGAGUAGAUAGUUACCCAUUUGUUAAUAAUUCGAUUUUGGCUUUGUAUGCAAAGGGUAGGAAGUUGAGUUUGGCGAGAAGGUGUUUUGAGAGCAUGGAUAAAAGAAAUAAAGUGGCUUGGAAUGCUAUGAUAUCAGGGUAUUGCAAAAAUGGUGAUAUCGAGGAAGCUCAAAGAUUAUUUGAUGCAAUGUGUGAGGAAGGGAUCGAGCCAUGUUUAGUAACUUGGAAUUUAUUGAUAGCUGGUUAUAACCAGAUAGGAUAUUGUGACGUUGCAAUGGAAUUGAUGAAGAAGAUGGAGAGUUUUGGCGUAAGCCCAGAUGUCGUCACCUGGACUUCUAUGAUUUCGGGGUUUGCUCAAAACAAUCGAACAAAUAAGGCAUUGGAUAUGUUCAAUGAGAUGGUUUUGACAGGGGUUGAACUCAAUGGAGUUACAAUUGGCAGUGUGAUUUCAGCGUGUACAUCUUUAAAAGCGUUAGAUGAAGGGUUAGAAAUUCACGCACUUGCUUUUAAGAUGGGUUUUGUUGACGAUGUUCUAGUUGGGAAUUCACUAAUUGACAUGUACUCGAAGUGUGGGAAACUGGAAGCUGCUUGGAAGGUAUUUGAAAUGAUGCCGGAGAAAGAUAUUUAUAGUUGGAAUUCAAUGAUUGGAGGAUAUUGUCAAGCUGGAUAUUGUGGUAAAGCCUAUGUUCUUUUUAUGAAAAUGCCAAAAUCUGAUGUACAGCCUAAUGUCAUUACUUGGAAUAAUAUGAUCUCGGCAUAUAUUCAAAAUGGAGAUGAUGAUCGCGCCAUGGAUUUGUUUCACAGGAUGGAAAAGGAUGGUAAAAUCAAACGUGAUACUGCAUCAUGGAACUCUCUUAUUUCAGGUUAUUUGAAAAUGGGACAAAAAGACAAGUCAAUUAGCAUAUUUCGACAAAUGCAAUCUUGUAGUGUUAGUUCAAAUUCUGUUACCAUUCUAAGUGUCUUACCUGCUUGUGCAAGUUUAGUUGCUUUGAAAAAGGUAAAAGAGAUUCAUGGUUGUGUAUUGCGCAGAAAUCUAGAACCCGUACUCUCUAUUAGAAAUUCGCUGAUUGACACAUAUGUCAAAUCAGGGAAUAUAGGAUAUUCAAGAACCAUAUUUGGUAGAAUGUUGUCCAAAGAUUUCAUCACCUGGAACUCAAUGAUAGCUGGUUAUGUUCUACAUGGUUAUUCAGAUGCUGCACUUGAUCUUGUUAAUCAGAUGCAAAAGCUGGGACUUAAGCCAAACAGAAGCACUUUUGUGAGUAUUAUCCUUGCACACUGUCUUACUGGAAUGGUGGAUAAAGGGGAGCGAGCUUUCUCUAGCAUGACGGGAGACUAUCAAAUUGUGCCAUCUUUAGAACAUUAUGCAGCUAUGGUCCAUUUGUACGGUCGUUCUGGUAAGCUCACAGAGGCAAUGGAAUUUAUUGAGGAUAUGCCAAUUGAGCCUGAUUUUUCUGUGUGGUCUGCCUUACUGAAUGCCUCUUUGAAUCAUGGCAAUUUUGGGUUGGCAAUCCAGGCGGGGGAAAAUUUACUUGCCUUGGAACCAGGGAACCGUUUGAUCCACCAGUUAGUUUUACAGGCAUACACUUUAUGUGAGAAACCUCAAGAUGCGUCAAACGAGAAAAGGCUUGAGAAAGAUACCAAAGUACUGAAGCUUAUUGGACACAGCUGGAUCGAAGUAAAAAACGUUGUGCAUUAUUUUGUUGCAGGUGAUAGGUCUAAAUCAUGCUCAGAGAUUCUAUUUUCUUGGGUUGAGAGCAUAUCAAAAGAAGUGAAGGGAAGUGAUCUGCCUCUUGGGUCUUGCAUUGAGGAGGAAGAGAAGGAAGAAAUUAUAGGUGUACAUAGUGAAAAACUUGCAAUUGCCUUCGCCUUUGUUUGUGCACCUUCUGUACCUCGAAGCAUAAGAAUUGUUAAAAACCUGAGUAUGUGUGUAGACUGCCAUAGGAUGGCUAAAUAUCUCUCUAAGAUGUAUGGAUGUGAAAUAUAUUUGAGCGACUCAAAGUGCCUCCACCAUUUUAAAUCUGGUCAUUGUUCCUGUGGCGAUUAUUGGUAGAAUGCAAAAUGAUAGCUAUACAUAUGUGAACUGGUUUCAAUAUUUGUUCUGGUGAGUACUCAGUGGCUCAUCUGAGGGCUCUGGAUAUUGUUCAAGCUGCUAUGGAUCAUGCCACUCCUUCUAGUUUCAGAAGAUUCAUACAAUGUCAAUCUUAUUGAUCCAAAAUAUAUACUUGACAGUUGUUGCCGAAAAGAUAUUCUUGAAUAGGCAUGUCAAUCCUGUUGACAGGAUUAAAAAGUGUAAUGUGCUAGGCUUAAAUGACAUUAGUCUGCGGGCAGUUUGUCUGCCAGUGAAUUGACAAAGCAUUAGUGAUAAGCUUGUUGAUUCAGGGGAUAUACUAAAUAAGAUGCAGCAAAUGCAAAACUUCUAUACAGAAGAAAAUUUCAUUUUCUUAUGAAUCAUCAGAAUUCAUAGGAAGGCCUUAGUUAUUCUACAACGUGAAGAUCUAAAUAACUGAAUUAAUUAAAGAAUACCAUAAGAAGGGAGCGUGAGCGUGUAUCUUGAUGGGCUUUCAUAUAAAGAUGCCUUUCUAGUUUCUAACUAUAUUUGUUUGUUAACAGUAGACAACAGGUUGCUCUUGAUUAUAUCAUGGAUUUGGCAACCAGAUCGGAGGAUCUACUUUCAACAGUCAUCAAGAAACAUCACUUUAAACAGCAGAAAGGAAAUAUACACUGUUAGGAUUUCGGAGGAGGGACGACAUCUUUCUCAAGUGAGCUGAAACAGUGGGCUGCAUUAUCAGGCAAGCCUUCAUAUCACGGAGAAAAGAAAUAUAACCGAAGAUAUUGCUUAAAUUGUGAAACUGGAUGACAAAGUGCAGGUCUGAAGUGUGAUUCAUACGCAUAGAACGAAUCAAUUAUAAAUUGAAACAGAUGCUAGGCAUCUGCCACAUUAGCUAAAAGCUAUCUACUGAGGAGGAAAUUUGCAAUCUCAAGUAAAUUCCGCUGAGAUUCUGUGCCCAUACCCCACAACAGUAAAUUUUUGAAAAAGGAAAGUUCCUUCCAUAUGUGGCUCAAGGAAUAAUUGAAAAGCAAUUUCUGCCAUAUCCCAUUUGUCUUUUCCAGAGGCAUCUCUAAUUAAAUGAAUAUGGUAACGGUAGCAUCUAUUAUAAAUCUGUGUAAAGCACGGACGGUGAUUAUUGGCACAAGUAGAAAUCCUAAUUAUUUGAGGAAUGGAAUAAAUGUCUGAGCUGAUUGCGUGUUUAUAGCAUUAACAAACGAUAUGAUAAAGAAUGAAAAUGGUAGCCCCAAAAACGUCAGCCAUAAAACACAUGGAACUUUUCUUGCUCCAGAUUAUGGAGGGGGCCUUUGUU
Jatropha curcas is the source of this 4109-nucleotide non-coding RNA. The record is from RefSeq and is a predicted model, not a curated record. Lineage: Eukaryota; Viridiplantae; Streptophyta; Magnoliopsida; Malpighiales; Euphorbiaceae.